Molecule: ribosomal RNA, 468 nt
Filed under: uncultured bacterium
Lineage: Bacteria
Description: partial 16S ribosomal RNA
Rfam family: Bacterial small subunit ribosomal RNA
Source: RNAcentral
GACGAACGCUGGCGGCGUGCUUAACACAUGCAAGUCGAACGGAAAGGCCCUGCUUUUGUGGGGUGCUCGAGUGGCGAACGGGUGAGUAACACGUGAGUAACCUGCCCUUGACUUUGGGAUAACUUCAGGAAACUGGGGCUAAUACCGGAUAGGAUCUCCUGCUGCAUGGUGGGGGUUGGAAAGUUUCGGCGGUUGGGGAUGGACUCGCGGCUUAUCAGCUUGUUGGUGGGGUAGUGGCUUACCAAGGCUUUGACGGGUAGCCGGCCUGGGAGGGUGACCGGCCACAUUGGGACUGAGAUACGGACCAGACUCCUACGGGAGGCAGCAGUGGGGAAUAUUGCACAAUGGGCGGAAGCCUGAUGCAGCAACGCCGCGUGCGGGAUGACGGCCUUCGGGUUGUAAACCGCUUUCGCCUGUGACGAAGCGUGAGUGACGGUAAUGGGUAAAGAAGCACCGGCUAACUACGUG